Molecule: long non-coding RNA, 2470 nt
Organism: Centrocercus urophasianus (Greater sage-grouse)
Lineage: Eukaryota; Metazoa; Chordata; Aves; Galliformes; Phasianidae
Exons: 2
Source: RefSeq, a predicted model, not a curated record
CGGUGGUGAAGCGCUUGGAGCAGCCGGGCGCGGCGCAGGCGAAGGGCCGCAGUUUGUCGUGCGAGUGCAGCUCUGUUCCGGCUCUCCAGUCUUGAGCAGAAGGAAGAAUCAAGCCAUCCUUGUGGUGGGAAUCAGGCUCCGGCGGCUGUGAGCCCUUCGAGCAGUCCCAGCAGAUGGCGCUGUGAUGCUUCCAGAGGGCAAAUUAUUCCCCCAGAGCUAUUCUGCAUCGAAUUUCGGACCGCAAGCAAGGCGAGCUGCUGUCCAGCCGCAGGUGGCUGCGGGGUACUGAUGCUCCCUGCAGUACAACUGUGUGCACGCAGCUCCCCCCUGCAGCUGCAGAGCUGUCUGUGCAGCCUCAGCCUGGGUGCUUGAGCUCAGCCUCCCCUGAAAUCCCCCUGAGCUGUCACAGGGCCUGGGUCAGCCCUGCUUGUGGCUGCUGCCGGUGCUCCUGGUCUCACUGCAGAGGUGCAUGCACUGCACUCUUCCUUCACUUCCUUCCUUUUUGUAGAAGAAAAAUGGCCUUAAGUUGUGCCAGGGGAGGUUCAGGUUGGACGUUAGGGAAACUUUCUCAGAAUGAGUGGUGAGGCACUGGCACAGGCUGCACAGGGAGUGGGGAGUCACCAUCCCUGGAGGCAGUUCACGAGCUGUGGAGACGUGGCACCGAGGAAUGUGGUUAUGGGCACGGUGGAAGUGGGUUAGGAUUGGACUUGGGAAUCAUAAUUGUCUUUCCAACCUUAAUGAAUCUAUGAAAAUAAAGGCCAGCCUAGGCCUUUAGUGCUCAACGCAGAGGUGCAUCCCUGAUGGAAGGAUAUCAAAUCAACCUGCGUCAAGCUUCAAACCUCACUACAGAAAUUAAUCUCCUCUGUUAUCUACUAUCUGGUCUGAUACUGUGACUGCAGAUGUGUGUUUUGAAGGAGACUGCUGUGCCUGUAAUGAGGUUUUCCAGCACUGAGGUCAUCUGCCUAGAAAUGACAUCAGCGUCCCCACAGAGUUAGGCAGAACAAUUGUCCAUUCAUAGACCCAGUUUCUCUGCAAACUGCAGAAAAACAAGGACACUCAGAAGAGUUCAAGGAGUUUUUGCCCUGGCCAGGCCUAUGGCUUCUGCCUGUUGGAAAUCACAAGCUGCUUCAUCCCAGCAGGGAGUGACAGAUUACUGUUAGCAAAGUGCUAAAUAACACAAAGGUGAAGAAUCCAUAAUAGUAUUUCUUCAACAUUUUCUGUGGUAGAUUUUUCAACUCACAAUUAAGAUGACUAUAGAGCAGCUCCAUAGUACGUUCCUGUACUUCCAUAGUACACAAAGACAUUGUAUUUUCUGGAUGUUCCCUAUGACAAACAGUGCCCCAGUUCUUUUGGGCUACAACUAGAGCGGUUGUAUGAGGUAGAGCUACCAAGACACCACCCCAGUGUGAUUAUUAAUAGGUAAUGCCUAACAUAUGUUAAAGAAAGGCUGUCAAAUCUGGCUGGCAACUGCUCACGUCUCGGUGCUGUAACUUGUCAAUGCGUGCUUUUUUCCACAGUGUAAAGCAAUUCUGGUGAACUGCAAAAUGCACUUCACAGAAGGUUUGGUUGCAAGCAGAUGCCAGCCUCUCACUGCUCAUCUGGAGAUGUACACUUUAUGUGAACAGAGUAAAUGACUGACUACUGAAAUUUAGAAGAAAAAAAACAACACACAGCACACCAGGUGUACUGUUUAACUGGCACCAGAAGCAAUGCGUGGGUGCAGCAAGCACACACUUGUUAAGUACCAAAAUGCCACAGGGUUUUAAAGUUAUUUGGUUUCUUGAGGCCCCACAGUUCAAAUAGUGCAGCUCCUCACUCCCCACCUGCAGCAGCCAGCACAGGUCACCAUGAGUAAGCUCCCUGCCUAUCGCAGAAUGCAUCAGUGAGGUACUGUUAACACCAUACUAUGGGAAGUUGAAGUGCAAAAUAAGACAUUUCUCUAGGUUGCAUCUGGACAGCUAGAUUAUUAUUCUUUAGUUUUAUUUCAAGGAAAGGAACUGAAAUUUUGUCCCUUACAAGGAGAAAUUCCCUAUUGCAAAUACUCCCCCAAACGUGCUCUUUUAAUGGGUUAAAAGGAAAAAAAUCUCAUGCGGCAGAGACAAUUGCAAGGCUUUUAUCAUUUGCACAUUUUAUCAUACGUUUCUACCAGGAUAACAUUGCAGUUGGAAUACCACUAACAUUUGAGGGCUUGUUCUAAGAUGUUCUCAUCCACCACUUUUUGAGGAAGAGUCACCUUCAGUGCAGCACUGUCUUUCAUUGCUUGGCAGAUGGUUUCAUACGCGUAGCCAUUACCUGACCAGCAGCGCCUUGCAACCUGUCAGACCAGAAAAUCAGUGUGUAAAAAUUGCCCAUUUUCCAUACCAAGUCCCAUUUUGUGCAAAUAUUGCAAAUUGUGCAAUUUUGUGCAAAUUUUGUGAUAUUUGUGCAAACACUGGCAUCCCAUUUCAUCACAAUAAAUCUUUCAACUCUC